RNAcentral lists this ribosomal RNA (460 nucleotides) under uncultured bacterium. RNAcentral describes it as "partial 16S ribosomal RNA". It matches the Rfam family "Bacterial small subunit ribosomal RNA", at positions 338 to 795 of the family's 1533-position model. The record is from RNAcentral.
CCUACGGGAGGCAGCAGUGAGGAAUAUUGGUCAAUGGACGAGAGUCUGAACCAGCCAAGUAGCGUGAAGGAUGACUGCUCUACGGGUUGUAAACUUCUUUUAUAUGGGAAUAAAAUGUUUCACGUGUGGGAUUUUGUAUGUACCAUAUGAAUAAGGAUCGGCUAACUCCGUGCCAGCAGCCGCGGUAAUACGGAGGAUCCGAGCGUUAUCCGGAUUUAUUGGGUUUAAAGGGUGCGUAGGUGGAUUGUUAAGUCAGUGGUGAAAGUUUGCGGCUCAACCGUAAAAUUGCAGUUGAAACUGGGAGUCUUGAGUACAGUAGAGGUAGGCGGAAUUCGUGGUGUAGCGGUGAAAUGCUUAGAUAUCACGAAGAACUCCGAUUGCGAAGGCAGCUCACUGGACUGCAACUGACACUGAUGCUCGAAAGUGUGGGUAUCAAACAGGAUUAGAUACCCGUGUAGUC